CUUGAAGAACUCCCAGAAGCAGGAGCCUGCUGAGAAAGAAGUCUAAGAUUAUCAACUUUGUACUACUGGCACAUCUUGUCCUUCUUGUUUGCCAUUCAGGAGGUCAACCAAGACCCAUGGCUCUUGCCCAACAUCUCCCUGGGCUACAGCAUCUAUGAUACCUAUUUUGAUGGAAGAAUUACUUCGGAUGCCAUGAUAGACCUCCUAUCUGGGAGUGGAAACAAUAUUCCAUAUAGGAACUGCAGGCAAAAGAAUAAGUUCCUGGCUAUUCUGGAAGCAGCUGAAUCAGACAUCUCCAGCCAAAUUUCAUCCUUCUCCGGCAUCUACAAGCUCCCACAGGUAUGCCAAGGGCAGGCAGGGGAGUGUUGGAGGAAAGAACUGGACCUGAUUCCGUUUUGCUGUUACUCUGGUGAAAUCAGAAAAAGACACAGGUCCUCAAGAAGUGAGGUCAAAGGAGAAAGUGAUUGGAAUGUGUAUUUGGUUAUAUGCAUUUGAUAAAGUACAAAGCUUCA
Hemicordylus capensis (graceful crag lizard) is the source of this 512-nucleotide long non-coding RNA. RefSeq lists it as uncharacterized. NCBI's taxonomy places the organism in Eukaryota, Metazoa, Chordata, Lepidosauria, Squamata, Cordylidae. The transcript is spliced from 2 exons. The record is from RefSeq and is a predicted model, not a curated record.